UUGCUCCCGGUUCAGUAUUAAUGGCGGCAGGAGGCUCCGCCCACCUGCCCCGAAGUCAUCACUGAUCAUCUGCACAUGCGCAGAAACGUGUCCCGUUGUGAACUGUGCACACUCCCGUUGCAAACCAGUAGUAAAGAUCCUGGUAGAAUAUGACCUCCAUUAAUGACUGCUAUAGAUAGCUGAGGACCGAAGACCCUGAAAUAGCAUAUCCCACUUUGGACCACAGAAGUUUUAGAACAUCGGAAUCCAAACCAAUAAUUCUGAAAAUAGCGUAUGCCAGCCUGAGUGCAACCUUAUGCAAACAAAACUGUCACCGGGAUGAAUUCAAUAAGAGAAUACAGAAUAGUGGAACAUCUGUAGAGAAAAUAGAGCUCAGUGAGGACCAAAUAUGCUAAGUUUUUACAGAAUGCUAAGUAGCAAUGGCUGAGGAGUUGGAAUGGAAAACAGGUACGGCUGGACUUCAGAGUCCUUGGAAAGGACUUCACUGACUGCAUGAUUGGAAUGCUACCCUGAAACAUUACUCACUGAAAUAUUGUUAUGUUAAGUGGUUAAAUCUAGCUUUGCUUUGAGUAACUAUGUAUUUGAUGCAUUAAUAUUGCCCUUUAUUUAUUUAUUUUUCACAUUUUUGAACCACCAGUCUCCUUCCCUUUAAUUGUAUUCCAUUAUGGAAAUUUUAGCUGGAACCAAUGAUAUCCUUCUUUCUUUCUUCUUCUUAAGCUUCCAUCUUUCAGGAAAGAUAAAGUUUUUGUGGUGUACAUUGUGCACACCAUGCAAAUGGCCAUAAAUGCAACCUCAACUUCUCACUGUACUAUGCAGAGCAGUAUUCCAAAAAGAUCAGACAUUAUAUAAUUGUCACUAAGACAAUUCAGGUGCUUCAUCUAACAUUUCCUCAGAAUAUGCCUCUCUGCCAUU
This is a long non-coding RNA of Pantherophis guttatus, 912 nucleotides long. RefSeq lists it as uncharacterized. NCBI's taxonomy places the organism in Eukaryota, Metazoa, Chordata, Lepidosauria, Squamata, Colubridae. The record is from RefSeq and is a predicted model, not a curated record.